RNAcentral lists this ribosomal RNA (467 nucleotides) under uncultured bacterium. RNAcentral's name for it is "partial 16S ribosomal RNA". It matches the Rfam family "Bacterial small subunit ribosomal RNA", at positions 28 to 507 of the family's 1533-position model. The record is from RNAcentral.
GACGAACGCUGGCGGCGUGCUUAACACAUGCAAGUCGAACGGAAAGGCCUCUUUCGGGGGGUACUCGAGUGGCGAACGGGUGAGUAACACGUGAUUAACCUGCCCUUGCCUUUGGGAUAACUUCAUGAAACUGGGGCUAAUACCGGAUAGGAGCUCCUGCUGCAUGGUGGGGGUUGGAAAGUUUCGGCGGUUGGGGAUGGACUCGCGGCUUUUCAGCUUGUUGGUGGGGUAGUGGCUUACCAAGGCUUUGACGGGUAGCCGGCCUGAGAGGGUGACCGGCCACAUUGGGACUGAGAUACGGCCCAGACUCCUACGGGAGGCAGCAGUGGGGAAUAAUGCACAAUGGGUGGAAACCUGAUGCAGCAACGCCGGGUGCGGGAUGACGGACUUCGGGUUGUAAACCGCUUUCGCUCAUGACGAAGCUUUGUGUGACGGUAGUGGGUAAAGAAGCACCGGCUAACUACGUG